UACGAAGGGGGCUAGCGUUGUUCGGAAUUACUGGGCGUAAAGCGUAUGUAGGCGGAUCGUUAAGUCGGGGGUGAAAUCCCGAGGCUCAACCUCGUAACUGCCUUCGAUACUGGCGAUCUUCGAGUCCGGGAGAGGUGAGUGGAACUCCGAGUGUAGAGGUGAAAUUCGUAGAUAUUCGGAAGAACACCAGUGGCGAAGGCGGCUCACUGGCCCGGUACUGACGCUGAAAUACGAAAGCGUGGGGAGCAAACAGC
This 254-nucleotide ribosomal RNA is filed under the name uncultured bacterium. RNAcentral describes it as "partial 16S ribosomal RNA". It matches the Rfam family "Bacterial small subunit ribosomal RNA", at positions 524 to 776 of the family's 1533-position model. The record is from RNAcentral.